AUGGCAGAUUAUCAUUUAGAAACUGAAUCUAAUGUUAGUCCUGAAAUUAACUUUGUUGAACAGAAAAAUCAACACUUCUUACCCAAGGGUCUUCAACAUUUUGAUGAAAAAGGUGAACAAAUGAAGGAUAAGAUACAGAAUAAAAGUACCAUUCUGCUCACUCCUGGAUUCCAAGAUUUCUGAUGAGAAACCUGUUAAUCUUAUUGAAGAUCUACUGCAUGUGAUGGGUAACUUUUCUCUUGCUACUUUAAAAAUUUUCUCUGUCUCUGGCUUCUGAUCAUCUGAUUAAAAUGAGUCUUGGUGUAAAUCA
Long non-coding RNA from Neofelis nebulosa (Clouded leopard), 310 nucleotides. RefSeq lists it as uncharacterized. The transcript is spliced from 2 exons. The record is from RefSeq and is a predicted model, not a curated record. Lineage: Eukaryota; Metazoa; Chordata; Mammalia; Carnivora; Felidae.